RNAcentral lists this ribosomal RNA (253 nucleotides) under uncultured bacterium. Its description in RNAcentral is "partial 16S ribosomal RNA". It matches the Rfam family "Archaeal small subunit ribosomal RNA", at positions 474 to 727 of the family's 1478-position model. The record is from RNAcentral.
UACCCGCAGCACAAGUGGUGGUCAUUAUUAUUGGGCCUAAAGCGUCCGUAGCUGGCUUGUUAGAUGCCUGGGUAAAUCGAUGCGCUCAACGCAUCGAACCCCGGGUAGACCGGCAAGCUUGGGACCGGGAGAGGCGUGAGCUACUCGAGGGGUAGGGGUAAAAUCCUGUAAUCCUUCGGGGAGGACCAGUGGCGAAGGCGUCACGCUAGAACGGCUCCGACAGUGAGGGACGAAGCCCUGGGGCGCAAACCGG